Dreissena polymorpha is the source of this 962-nucleotide long non-coding RNA. RefSeq lists it as uncharacterized. The transcript is spliced from 3 exons. The record is from RefSeq and is a predicted model, not a curated record. Lineage: Eukaryota; Metazoa; Mollusca; Bivalvia; Myida; Dreissenidae.
UUACUGCCCUUUGUUUAUAUUCGAUAAGGAUGAAUAAAUCUAAAUAAAUUGCAAUUUAUCAUACGUGAAAACCCUAUGUGUUUAUUAUGUGUGUGAUUCAAUUAUAUUGUUCAACAGCAGUUGAAGUAUAUGCGCUUCCCGCCGCUCAAAUUAUUGUGCAAUGAUUAAUUUUGCUGUAAGCUUUUAUCUCCAUUGCAAUUUGCAUGUGAUUUCGGAAGUUUUUUUGUUCGGAUAAGUACUCAAUGGAGCCUUGUUUUUUAUUGGUACUCAUCACUGACAUCAGUUAAAGAUUUUUGGCCAAAGGAAACAUCUAUUCCAAGCUGGCAGAUCUUCAUGGAAUCAGCAGAUCAUCUUUCGUUAAUUGACAUGCCUUCACGAGUUCAAUCAGCAAACAUAUGAUCGGUUUCCAGUCUGUGUACAACAACAAACUUGCAUGAAGGUUGGAUUCUGCCACAAGGCCCGGGAGCAGUGGAUGGGACUCUCAUACCCAUAAUACUGAAUACGUUAUAUUACACACAUGCUGUUGAACACAGCAGGAACUCUUGAAGAAAAAAAUGUGUAUUUUUUUAUUCGAACUUAAAUGUAAAAUAUAUAUUUAAUUUUAGCUCGACAAUACCUUGAAUGAUAAGCUGUGUAUAAAAUUAUGGUAAACAUGCAACAUCCUUAUAUCACUGUUUCUAUUACAUAUUUUCAUUAAAAGCACUUAUGUAUUCAGGGUCAUUAUGUCAUUGUGAGGUCACUGACCAAGUUGCUUAUCUCUGACCUGCAUUUAGCUUAAUAAUGCCCCUUUUGUACUUAAAAUGUUCCACUUAAAUUGUGUGUACAGCUACUCCAUAUCCCUAUAUUUUCCACAGAUAAUCCUUCACAUAUGUCGUCAGAUUUUUUUUUAAAUUAUAUAAAUUAUAUUUCUUUGGGUCACUGUUAUAACCACUACAAAUAUUUACUGUUGUUGCGAAUAAAGU